UGAAAGUUGCGUCAUGGGCGUUCCGCUUUUUUCGGGUUACGUGAUUUCCUGCGGCCAUUUUGGGUCUAGGCUCAGCUAAGCUCAGCGCGUUUACAACACUGCGAGCGACCGAUUUCUUUUAUUUUUACUCCUGAUUAUUUCGAGUAUUUCUUUAUUUCGAAAAUAAACCACCAUGCCAGGGUGUUGUGCCCACGGCUGCAGCAACAGCACUGAUAAAGGGACGCGGAUGUUCCGUUUUCCAAGCGAUGAAGAGCGGCGUUUAUUGUGGAUCAACCGAGUCAGUCGCUUGGACCAAGAGAUGAACAAAACUUGGAGACCUACAACAAACUCUCGCUUGUGUGAGUCUCAUUUUGAUGAGUACCAGUUCGAGCAGAAUCGUACAGAUGGGAAACGUCCCUUGAAGAAGACAGCACUGCCCUCCAUCUUCCACCAUCGUACACCAAAGACACCUCGCCCACCACCAAAGAAGCGUUCUGCUGCACCAUCCGAUGUCAAAGCCAUCAUUGAAGAAAACUCACCUGCCUGAACACUCAUACUGCACCCCUGUACAAGAUCCAGGUCCAGUUGCAUGUGAUGAGCUUAAUGCAGCAAAUGAUGACUUGCAGUUGCUUGAGGAUAUAAGUUGUAAUUUGGGAUGUGGAAAAGUCUGAGUGCACCAACUGUCCCCGUCUUAAGGAGCGCAUCAAAGGCCUUCAGGAGAAACUGAAAUCAACCCAAAGAAAACUUCAAACUCUUAAAAAAGAGAAAUUCAAGGUGGAGGCCAACAUGAACAAGAUCUUUGCUAAGGAUCAAUUUGUGGCUCUAGGAAGAACAAAGAUGAGGGGUGUCAAAAAAGGACUGCAAUGGAAAAAGUGGGUACCAAGAACUUCACUCAAAAGGAUUCCCGUUUCCCAGUGAAAGGACGCUUCAGCGCCGGGUUGAGCACAUUUCAUUCAAUCCUGGCUGGCUGUAAAGCAGCUGUCACUGCAAAUUGUGACAGCAAGUUUGACCACCUCACCACCCUCAAAGAGUUCAAGCCCGGAUCUCUCUUCAAGGUGACU
Long non-coding RNA from Fundulus heteroclitus (mummichog), 1040 nucleotides. RefSeq lists it as uncharacterized. Lineage: Eukaryota; Metazoa; Chordata; Actinopteri; Cyprinodontiformes; Fundulidae. The transcript is spliced from 3 exons. The record is from RefSeq and is a predicted model, not a curated record.